This 423-nucleotide unclassified non-coding RNA is filed under the name Hevea brasiliensis (rubber tree). Lineage: Eukaryota; Viridiplantae; Streptophyta; Magnoliopsida; Malpighiales; Euphorbiaceae. The record is from RNAcentral.
AAGAUUCUUCCUCAGGCCGUGAUUUCUAUUCCAAGAAAGCCCAAUCAUUGUGCGCCGAGAAGGUUAGGGUUUUGUUCCGCAGUUUCUGUUACUCGUGUUUCGUUUUCUACUCUUUCCUCCAGCUCAAUUGGCUGCCAUUUUCACCACACCGUUGCGGCGCCGUUGAGACGAGCGUUUGUUGUGAGAGCUGAGGCGAGUUCCGAGGCGGAGUCGGCGGUUGAAGAAGCUUCUGAAGCUGAAGUAGAAGCAGUAGUGGAGUCUGAUGCUCAGCCUGAGGAGGAGAAGGCGCCGAGAAAGCCUCGUGUUAAGCUCGGAGAUGUAAUGGGGGUAAUUGUUCUAUCCAUUCAUCCCAUUAAGGAACACAAACUUUUUUGCAGUUCUGAAUUAAGGAGCAAGUGGAGUUCUGUACUGGUUGUUUCGAAU